Molecule: ribosomal RNA, 423 nt
Filed under: uncultured bacterium
Lineage: Bacteria
Description: bacterial SSU rRNA
Rfam family: Bacterial small subunit ribosomal RNA
Source: RNAcentral
GGGGAAUCUUGCGCAAUGGGCGAAAGCCUGACGCAGCGACGCCGCGUGAGCGAUGAAGGCCUUCGGGUUGUAAAGCUCUGUGGGGAGGAAAGAAUAAGGUUUGGCUAAUAUCCAAACCGAUGCCGGUACCUCCUUAGCAAGCACCGGCUAACUCUGCGCCAGCAGCCGCGGUAAGCCCGAGGGUGCAAACGUUGUUCGGAAUUACUGGGCGUAAAGCGCGUGUAGGCGGCCCUGCAAGUCGGGUGUGAAAUCCCAUGGCUCAACCAUGGAAGUGCACUCGAAACUGCAGGGCUAGAGUCCUGGAGAGGAAGGUGGAAUGCUUGGUGUAGAGGUGAAAUUCGUAGAUAUCAAGCGGAACACCGGUGGCGAAGGCGGCCUUCUGGACAGUGACUGACGCUGAGACGCGAAAGCGUGGGGAGCAAA